Molecule: transfer RNA, 89 nt
Filed under: Puccinia graminis f. sp. tritici CRL 75-36-700-3
Lineage: Eukaryota; Fungi; Basidiomycota; Pucciniomycetes; Pucciniales; Pucciniaceae
Description: tRNA-Ala (TGC) (tRNA-Ala-TGC-1-1)
Source: RNAcentral
GGGGCCGAGAUGGUCUAAUGGGGGAAGACCAUUGUUACCCGGUAGCCCUGCAAGCAUGCAGGUUCCAGGUUCGAAUCCUGGCGGCCCCA